RNAcentral lists this ribosomal RNA (327 nucleotides) under uncultured eukaryote. Its description in RNAcentral is "partial 18S ribosomal RNA". It matches the Rfam family "Eukaryotic small subunit ribosomal RNA", at positions 1470 to 1796 of the family's 1831-position model. The record is from RNAcentral.
CCCUUAGAUGUUCUGGGCCGCACGCGCGCUACACUGACGAAUGCAACGAGCUUAUAACCUUGGCCGAAAGGUCUGGGUAAUCUCCAAAUUUCGUCGUGAUGGGGAUAGAUUAUUGCAAUUAUUAAUCUUCAACGAGGAAUGCCUAGUAAGCGCAAGUCAUCAGCUUGCGUUGAUUACGUCCCUGCCCUUUGUACACACCGCCCGUCGCUCCUACCGAUCGAGUGAUCCGGUGAAUGUUUUGGAUCGGUUGCAAGUUGCGCGACGCGCUUCUUGCAUGCUGUGAAAUCAUGUAAGCCUUAUUGCUUAGAGGAAGGAGAAGUCGUAACA